Molecule: ribosomal RNA, 207 nt
Filed under: uncultured bacterium
Lineage: Bacteria
Description: partial 16S ribosomal RNA
Rfam family: Bacterial small subunit ribosomal RNA
Source: RNAcentral
CGCGUAGGCGGAUUAUUGAGUCAGAUGUGAAAGGCCAGGGCUUAACCUUGGAAUUGCAUUUGAUACUGAUAGUCUAGAGUGGAGUAGAGGUAAGCGGAAUUCCCGGUGUAGCGGUGAAAUGCGUAGAUAUCGGGAGGAACAUCAGUGGCGAAGGCGGCUUACUGGACUCACACUGACGCUGAGGCGCGAAAGCGUGGGUAGCGAACA